CCGAGGUAUAAUCCUAUCGAUCGUAUCUCUUAGUGAUGUGCAGUGUACUCUUCGGUUGUCCAACGUUUGGCUGUCUUUGAGAACUUGAGUCUCACUGUCGGGAAAGCGAGGUUCUCAGAGAGAUUCAGGUGAAUCCAUCUUCCACCUAGAUGAAAUGAAACUUCUGUUCAUUUGGGAUCCUUGGCGGACUUCCAAAUAUUAUCUGUAAGAGUUUCUCUGCAAAUCUUUCAGUCCAGUUCAAGUUCCUGAGAACAACAAUGAUCCUGAUGAUGGAUAGUUUACUGGUGAAGUACUUCAGAAUCGUCUUGCGUGUUGUGUCAAAGUUUACCGGUGAAGUUCUUGCAUGUUGUGUCAAGGUUUACUGGUGAGUUGUUGAUGCAUAUUACCUUGAGAUGGAAAACGAUGAUGAUGAGGUUACCGAAGAUGAUGAUGAGGAUGCAAAGGGAGGAAGAUGAGUAGGAGGACGAGGAUGACGAUGAAAAGAUGAGCAAGGGAAAGAAGAGCA
Long non-coding RNA from Raphanus sativus (radish), 505 nucleotides. RefSeq lists it as uncharacterized. The record is from RefSeq and is a predicted model, not a curated record. The transcript has 3 exons. NCBI's taxonomy places the organism in Eukaryota, Viridiplantae, Streptophyta, Magnoliopsida, Brassicales, Brassicaceae.